RNAcentral lists this ribosomal RNA (414 nucleotides) under uncultured eukaryote. RNAcentral's name for it is "bacterial SSU rRNA". It matches the Rfam family "Eukaryotic small subunit ribosomal RNA", at positions 592 to 1013 of the family's 1831-position model. The record is from RNAcentral.
CAAUAGCGUAUAUUAAAGUGUUGCGGCUAAAAGCUCGUAGUUGGAUUUCUGCUGAGGACGACUGGUCCGCCCUCUGGGUGAGUAUCUGGCUCGGCCUUGGCAUCUUCUUGGGGAACGUAGCUGCACUUGACUGUGUGGUGCGGUAUCCAUGACUUUUACUUUUAAGGAAAUUACACUGUUUCAAGCAGGCGCACGCCUUGAAUAUAGUAGCAUGGAAUAAUAAAAUAAACCUUGGUUCUAUUUUGUUGGUUCUAAACCUGAGGUGAUGAUUAAUAGGAAAGAUUGGGGGCAUUCGUAUUUAAUUGUCAGACGUGAAAUUCUUGGAUUUGUUAAAGACGGACUACUGCGAAAGCAUUUGCCAAGAAUGUUUUCCUUGAUCAAGAACGAAAGCUAGGGGAUCGAAGAUGAUUAGAU